UACGUAGGGGGCAAGCGUUGUCCGGAUUUAUUGGGCGUAAAGAGCGUGUAGGCGGCUAGGUAGGUCCGUUGUGAAAACUCGAGGCUCAACCUCGAGACGUCGAUGGAAACCAUCUGGCUAGAGUCCGGAAGAGGAGAGUGGAAUUCCCGGUGUAGAGGUGAAAUUCGUAGAUAUCGGGAGGAACACCAGUGGCGAAGGCGGCGAUCUGGGAAGAUACUGACGCUGAGGUGCGAAAGCGUGGGGAGCAAACAGG
RNAcentral lists this ribosomal RNA (253 nucleotides) under uncultured bacterium. RNAcentral's name for it is "partial 16S ribosomal RNA". It matches the Rfam family "Bacterial small subunit ribosomal RNA", at positions 524 to 776 of the family's 1533-position model. The record is from RNAcentral.